AUACGCUGCGAAAAGCCGUGGGGAGCUGCGAAUAAGCUUUGAUCCAUGGAUCUCCGAAUGGGGCAACCCACCUUAAAUACCUAGAAAAUCUGAAUUGUUGACCGCAAACAUCCUGCUCUUUCGCUUGCUCUUCGGAGUGGCGAGGGAAAAGGAUCGAAGCCCGUUUGGGCUUCGCAAGGCCGGAGGCCGUCGCUGCUGAUGCAGCGUAGCCUCAACGGCCUGGUGGCUGGUUGGACACUUCAGGUUUCUAGGUAUUGUAACAAGGUAUCUUCACCUGAAUAAAAUAGGGUGUAAGAAGCGAACGCAGGGAACUGAAACAUCUAAGUACCUGCAGGAAAGGACAUCAACCGAGACUCCGCAAGUAGUGGCGAGCGAACGCGGACCAGGCCAGUGGCAAUGAAGUUUAAAGUGGAAGAACCUGGAAAGGUUUGCCGUAGAGGGUGACAGCCCCGUACGCGUAGAUAGCUUUAUUGUCCUAGAGUAGGGCGGGACACGUGAAAUCCUGUCUGAACAUGGGGAGACCACUCUCCAAGCCUAAGUACUCGUGCAUGACCGAUAGC
RNAcentral lists this ribosomal RNA (560 nucleotides) under Rhizobium sp. mpig9.6. RNAcentral's name for it is "bacterial LSU rRNA". It matches the Rfam family "Bacterial large subunit ribosomal RNA", at positions 61 to 491 of the family's 2925-position model. The record is from RNAcentral. Lineage: Bacteria; Pseudomonadati; Pseudomonadota; Alphaproteobacteria; Hyphomicrobiales; Rhizobiaceae.